AUUGAACGCUGGCGGCAGGCUUAACACAUGCAAGUCGAGCGGGGUGAUGGUGCUUGCACUAUCACUUAGCGGCGGACGGGUGAGUAAUGCUUAGGAAUCUGCCUAUUAGUGGGGGACAACAUCUCGAAAGGGAUGCUAAUACCGCAUACGUCCUACGGGAGAAAGCAGGGGAUCACUUGUGACCUUGCGCUAAUAGAUGAGCCUAAGUCGGAUUGGCUAGUUGGUGGGGUAAAGGCCUACCAAGGCGACGAUCUGUAGCGGGUCUGAGAGGAUGAGCCGCCAGAGUGGGACUGUGACACGGCCCAGACUCCUACGGGAGGCAGCAGUGGGGAAUAUUGGACAAUGGUGGGACCCCUGAUCUGGCAAUGCCGCGUGUGUGAAGAAGGCCUUAUGGUUGUAAAGCACUUUAAGCGAGAAGGAGGAUCUUUUGGUUAAUACCCAAGAUGAGUGGACGUUACUCGCAGAAUAAGCACCGGCUAACUCUGUGCCAGCCGCCGCUGUAA
RNAcentral lists this ribosomal RNA (503 nucleotides) under uncultured bacterium. RNAcentral describes it as "partial 16S ribosomal RNA". It matches the Rfam family "Bacterial small subunit ribosomal RNA", at positions 30 to 523 of the family's 1533-position model. The record is from RNAcentral.